GAUGAACGCUGGCGGCGUGCUUAACACAUGCAAGUCGAACGAUAAAGCCCAGCUUGCUGGGUGGUCUAGUGGCGAACGGGUGAGUAACACGUGAGUAACCUGCCCUUCACUCUGGGAUAAGCCUGGGAAACUGGGUCUAAUACCGGAUAGGAGCGUCCACCGCAUGGUGGGUGUUGGAAUGAUUUCUCGGUUUUGGGUGGUCUCGCCGCAUAUCCGCGUGUGUGUGGGGUUAUGGUUCACAAACGCGACGACGUGUAGCCGGCCUGAGAGGGUGAGCGGCCACACUGGGAGUGAGACACGGCCCAGACUCCUGCGGGGGGGAGCAGUGGGGAAUAUUGCACAAUGGGCGAAAGCCAUGUGCAGCGGCGCCGCGUGAGGGAUAGCGGCCUUCGGGUUGUAAACCUCUUUCAGUAGGGAAGAAGCGAAAGUGACGGUACCUGCAGAAGAAGCACCGGCUAACUACGUG
Molecule: ribosomal RNA, 466 nt
Filed under: uncultured bacterium
Lineage: Bacteria
Description: partial 16S ribosomal RNA
Rfam family: Bacterial small subunit ribosomal RNA
Source: RNAcentral